RNAcentral lists this ribosomal RNA (438 nucleotides) under Rhogadopsis sp. 2 XYL-2012. RNAcentral's name for it is "partial 16S ribosomal RNA". Lineage: Eukaryota; Metazoa; Arthropoda; Insecta; Hymenoptera; Braconidae. The record is from RNAcentral.
GGUGUUAAUGAAUUUUAAUAUUAAGUGUAGUCUGCCCAAUGAUUAUAUUAAAUGGCUGCAGUAUAAAUAACUGUACAAAGGUAGCAUAAUAAUUUGUUUUUUAAUUAAAAAAUAGAAUAAAUGAUUAAAUGAAAUAUAUACUUUAUUAAUUAAAUAAAUUAAAAUUUUUAUUUAAGUAAAAAAACUUAAAUAUUUAUAAAAGACGACAGGACCCUAUAGAAUUUUAUUUAUUAUUUUAUUUUAAUAAUAAUUAUUUUAUAAAAUUAAAAUAAUAAAUUUUAUUGGGGUAAUUAAAAAAUUAAAAUAAUUUUUUUAAAAUUUUACAUUAAUUAUUGAAAUACUAUAUCGUAAAUUUUAAAUUAUUAAAAUUAAUUACCUUAGGGAUAACCAGCAUAAUUUUUUUUAAAAGACCCUCUUAAUAAAAAAGAUCAUGACCCC